CAAUAAUAGGCCCAACAAAGCAAAAGUAGUCCAACAAAAAAAACAUCACACCCAACUCUUCAUGUUUUCUUCCUCACAUUUUCACUUAUUUCCUUUUUAUGCUCUUCAACUGUUCACUAACACCUCCCACCCACACUCCAACUUCCAGCCACAACUCUCCACUCUUCCGCCACAACAUGAAUACCACUGGAUCCACUACCGCGUUCGAUAGAUAGUCCUCAUCUUUUUCCUUUUUGCAUUUUUCUUCAACUGAUUCAUAACUUUGUUUCUUUUUUUGUCUUGUUUUUGAAAUUGAAAGUGUUGCUAGAUGCUUGCUUCCAUGCUUGAUACAUUAUUGUUUAUAUAUGCUAGUUUUUGUUUCAUGAGAGGGAUUGGGAAGAAGUGCAUUUUUUGUUUUCUUUUUUAGUUGGUGUUAUUGUUUUGAGAGUGAGAAAGAAAGUUUUGAUAUUUGUUUGAACGUUUCACUGAAAAAGAAAAUAUAAAAAGAGAGAGUGAGUGAGAUAGAAUUCCUUUUGGCUUCUUUCUAAAAAUGUAAAAAGAGAAUGAAUUUUGUUUUCACCUUCACGUGAGGUGAAGCCAAAAGAGAAAUGCUCCCUUUUAUUAAAUAUGGAUUAUUUUAUUUUAUUUUUAAAGAAGGGAAAGCUAAUUUUUUAUUAAAGUGGAUUUUGUUUUGUUUUACUUUUAGUAAAGUGGAAAAGCUAAUUUUUUUAUUCAUCUAUUCAAUUUUGCACUGCAGAAAAUAUCGUUCAACUUCAACGGUGUGGAAUUUAUUGGUUCAACUUCCACGUUGCGGGAUUGAUUAACUUCAAUUUCAGAAGGGUUUUACGUGAAAAAGCAGAGAAGCAUCGUGAAAGAGGAAAAGGGCAAGAGAAGGAGCAAGAGCAAAGGUUGAAGAACGGAAAAGCUUGAAGCUCAAAGAAUUACCGGAUUAUCUCAGGUAACGAGCAGUGAGUUGAGUAGAAGCUAGUGCUUGAAGUCUAGAGUGGUUUUAGUGGGUCAUGCUCUGAUAGAUGUAACAUCGGGACGGGAUGUUUUAUUUGUUGAAUAAAUGUUAAUUUUAAGAUAUUACAGAUGUUGAAUGUUUCUAUCCGCUGCGAAUU
Lathyrus oleraceus (garden pea) is the source of this 1100-nucleotide long non-coding RNA. RefSeq lists it as uncharacterized. The transcript has 3 exons. The record is from RefSeq and is a predicted model, not a curated record. NCBI's taxonomy places the organism in Eukaryota, Viridiplantae, Streptophyta, Magnoliopsida, Fabales, Fabaceae.